RNAcentral lists this ribosomal RNA (253 nucleotides) under uncultured bacterium. RNAcentral describes it as "partial 16S ribosomal RNA". It matches the Rfam family "Bacterial small subunit ribosomal RNA", at positions 524 to 776 of the family's 1533-position model. The record is from RNAcentral.
UACGUAGGGGGCAAGCGUUGUUCGGAAUUACUGGGCGUAAAGCGCACGUAGGCGGCUUUCUAAGUCGGGGGUGAAAUCCUGGAGCUCAACUCCAGAACUGCCUUCGAUACUGGAGAGCUCGAGUCCGGGAGAGGUGAGUGGAACUGCGAGUGUAGAGGUGAAAUUCGUAGAUAUUCGCAAGAACACCAGUGGCGAAGGCGGCUCACUGGCCCGGUACUGACGCUGAGGUGCGAAAGCGUGGGGAGCAAACAGG